AUGGCUUCUGAAACUUUUGGCUAAUAUCAAUCAAAUCUAGCAUCUGUUCUUAUCAGUCUAAUAUUGACAUGUGGACAUGUCCUCUAUCCUAGGAUCAUAUAUUAAGUGGAUUUUUGGAGCUAGGAGUUGGAAUGGGAGCUUGUUCCAUACACUCCACUCAGGUCCUCUAGGAAUAGUGCACCAUAC
Small nuclear RNA from Arvicanthis niloticus (Nile rat), 186 nucleotides. RefSeq annotates it as U2 spliceosomal RNA. The record is from RefSeq and is a predicted model, not a curated record. NCBI's taxonomy places the organism in Eukaryota, Metazoa, Chordata, Mammalia, Rodentia, Muridae.